GGCUAUGGCCCACCCCUGCUGACACAUCUCCUUCUCCAACAGUGUCAGCUCUGCCACAGCUUCUAGGACCUGAUGACACACUGCAACUUCAUGCUGAUACUGUCACCUUCUCUGCCAGUCCAGCCUGUCCUCUCCUCUGGCUUCAUCUGACAGGGCUCCCACUCACCCCCAGGCUCAUGUCCUGUCGCUCUAUCACUCAUGCAACCUCACUAGCAUGGAUUGGAACCAUCGAUGGAUUUCCUGACUGGCUGGCCUUUGAAAUGUUGCCCAUUCUAGGGCUUCUUUUGUAAACAUGUUGAGUUUGGUUAUCAAUAGGACACGAGAUGGAAGUGUCCAGAAAGUUGAAAUGUGGGUCUGGAAGUGAAGAGGAAACUAGGGCUGAGAGGGAGAAGUCAUUUCCCAUAAAACAUAGAAGUCAACAUUAUUGGUCUGGAUAUAAUUGAUAAGGGAGAAAAAUAUCAGAAAGAGAGAUGGAAAAAUGAGGAUAACAAAGUUUGCAAAUGAGUGGUCCACAGGCUGCAUCUGCCCUGCAGAAGUGUUUCAUUUGGCUUACAAGAUGAAUUGGUUGCAAAUGUUGAAAAACUGAAAAGAUUUCACACACGACUCUGGAUUUCUAGCUUCUUCUGAAAAGUGAGUAGAUCUAGCCACAUGAGGUGGGCAUUGUACACGGCUGGCUGCAGAUGGCUGCGGUGGAGGGCUGGCUGCCUCCUUCAGAGGGGGCCUUGUUCUGCUCUCUUCCACCUGCUGAUUCACUGACUCACAUCCCAGUUCAGCCCUUGUUAAGCGACUGAGUUUGCAACCCAUGCUUUUAUUAGUAUCAGUGUAGUAGAGGGUAAGAAAAUGAGAGUCAAUGUGACAAUACUAGGGAGACCAUUACUGGACCAAAUACGGCCAUUCCUCAUGCCAGGGGCUUGCUCUGAGCCUGCACUGAAUUGUGCUGGCUCAAUUCAGCAAGGACCUUUUCCUUUUUCACAAAGUACAGUCAAGCUGGUUCCUCCCCCACCUCUUCUCGGUUCCCCUGGAACGCCAUCCCCACAGCUCUGCCAGCCCUACCUCAUGAACUUCUCCAUGACCUCCUCCACCCACAUCUGCAGCCUCAGGAAGCUGAUGCCAUAGUGCCACCAGAGGCGGAAGAGGUUCAGCAGGUACCAGUCAGUCUCCUCCAGCACGAAGUGCUCCCCGCCGAAGAUGGCGCUCCUGCCCACCACCUCGCGCCGGUGCCUCAGCCCUGCAGAGACAAAGAGGAGCCCCUCAGGUCCCCUCCAAGACUUGGGGCCCUCUUGAUGCAAAUGGACUGGUCCAUUAAAGGAAACACAAAUGCUA
Long non-coding RNA from Pan troglodytes (chimpanzee), 1323 nucleotides. RefSeq lists it as uncharacterized. The record is from RefSeq and is a predicted model, not a curated record. The transcript is spliced from 2 exons. Lineage: Eukaryota; Metazoa; Chordata; Mammalia; Primates; Hominidae.